Molecule: ribosomal RNA, 403 nt
Filed under: uncultured Sedimentibacter sp.
Lineage: Bacteria; Bacillati; Bacillota; Tissierellia
Description: bacterial SSU rRNA
Rfam family: Bacterial small subunit ribosomal RNA
Source: RNAcentral
GGGGUAUAUUGCACAAUGGGCGAAAGCCUGAUGCAGCGUCGCCGCGUGAGGGAAGAUGGUUUUCGGAUUGUCAACCUCUGUCUUCGGGGACGAAACAAAUGACGGUACUCGAGGAGGACGCCACGGCUAACUACGUGCCAGCAGCCGCGGUAAUACGUAGGGGGCUAGCGUUAUCCGGAUUUACUGGGCGUAAAGGGUGCGUAGGUGGUAAUAUGUGUCAGAUGUAAAAGGCUAUGGCUUAACCAUAGUUAGCAUUUGAAACUGUAUUACUUGAGUGCAGGAGAGGUAAGUGGAAAUCCUAGUGUAGCGGUGAAAUGCGUAGAUAUUAGGAGGAACACCAGUGGCGAAGGCGACUUACUGGACUGUAACUGACGCUGAGUCACGAAAGCGUGGGUAGCAAACA